GUGAGGAAUAUUGGUCAAUGGGCGGAAGCCUGAACCAGCCAUCCCGCGUGCAGGAAGACGGCCCUAUGGGUUGUAAACUGCUUUUCCAGGGGGCGAAACUCUCCGACGUGUCGGGGUUUGACGGUACCCUGGGAAUAAGCAUCGGCUAACUCCGUGCCAGCAGCCGCGGUAAUACGGAGGAUGCGAGCGUUAUCCGGAUUUAUUGGGUUUAAAGGGUGCGUAGGCGGAUUAGUAAGUCAGUGGUGAAAACCUGCAGCUUAACUGUAGACUUGCCAUUGAUACUGUUAAUCUUGAGUGUGGUCAAGGAAGGCGGAAUGUGUAAUGUAGCGGUGAAAUGCUUAGAUAUUACACAGAACACCGAUUGCGAAGGCAGCUUUCUGGGCCAUUACUGACGCUGAUGCACGAAAGCGUGGGGAUCGAACAGGAUUAGAAACCCCAGUAGUCC
RNAcentral lists this ribosomal RNA (445 nucleotides) under uncultured bacterium. RNAcentral's name for it is "bacterial SSU rRNA". It matches the Rfam family "Bacterial small subunit ribosomal RNA", at positions 354 to 796 of the family's 1533-position model. The record is from RNAcentral.